GGGAUUUCUGUUUCAUAUGUACUUUCGCCAUCACAUCCUAAACGUAUUGUAUAAUACAAAAAUGUCCGUUUCUAAUCGAACUCAGCGCAACCUUACUUGUUUCUUAUUAUUCCGUUGCAAAUACAUAUAAAUCUGAAACUGGUGUGUGUUUAUGGGUGUAUGUAUAUAUGUAAGUUGGUGGUGCGAUAUGGUUUAUUUGAUACUGAUCGUUUUCAAAAUGUGUUGGAGUUGUUUUAAAAAAUUCAUUCUGCUAAUCGCUGUUAAUGGACUUGGACGUGUAACUUUGAAAAUGGCGUGAAUGUCGCGAUUGAAAUCAAGUGUAUAAAUAAAGUGCAAUGCAUAAUUGAUAGAAGUGUCACGUAAGGAGAAUUGACAGACAACAGAAAACAAGUUUCAAGGAUUAAAAACAAAAUCUAGAACAAAAUGACAGAGGAAAAUGAUAAUAGGCCUAGUAAUGGCGUUGCCCAAGGCUGCGAAGCAGAAACAACUGGAAAUAGAAAAUUGGCGGCCGAAGAAACUCAUGAGCUUACAACAAUUGUCGAUAAAUCACUGGAGAAUCCGAUUAAUAAUAACCUUGGCCUAACUGAGAAGAAAUGGGGUGGUGCGGGACAUGACGGUAGCAUCGAACCUGUUUCCAAUGCUUCUGAGGCAGAAGGACAAGUGAAGAAACUACCUUUUCCAAAAUCAGUAUUCUUUAUCAUCAGUUAUGAGUUCAGCAAAGGUUUCCACUACUAUGGCACGCGAACCAUUCUGGUUUUGUACCUGAGUCGGCAACUUGAUUAUGACGAUGACACUACUACCGUUAUAUUCCACAUCUACGCUAUGCUUGGGUACUUUCUAUGCGUUUUUGGUGCCAUUAUAUCGGAUAGUUGGCUUGGAAGAUUCAAAACGAUCUUAUAUCUCUCGUUCAUCUAUGUUGCUGGUUCAGCUUUGGUUACCCUUGGUGCGGUACCACCAUUAAAUUUACCUGCGACGACAUUUACCAUGGUCGGGUUGGGAUUAAUGUCUUUGGGUUCGGGUCUCGUGAAACCAUCCAUCUCCGCUUUUGGUGGGGAUCAGUUUAAGUUACCCGAGCAAGUGAAGCAAAUUACCAUCUUUUUCUCACUGUACUACUUUGUAGUCAAUGCUGGUUCAUUGAUUUCGAUUACAACUACACCAAUUUUACGCGAGGAUGUGCACUGCUUCGGCGAAAAGGAGUGUUAUUCAUUGGCUUUUGGCUUACCAGCUGUGCUCGUAAUUGCCUCGAUAGUUGUCUUCGCGUUGGGUCGUCCACUUUACAAGAGCAACCCGCCGGCAGGCAAUAUGGUCGUAUUAGUCAGCAAAACCAUUGGUAACGCAAUUGCUACCAAAUGGCGGGAGAAGAAGACUAAUCCUCGCGAACACUGGCUGGACUACGCCGAUAAGAAACAUGACCGUCAACUGAUCGAAGAUGUCAAAGUGUUGAUGCGUGUUCUCGUACUAUAUUUGCCCUUGCCCGUUUUCUGGGCUCUCUUCGAUCAGCAGGGCUCACGGUGGACUAUUCAGGCAACGCGUAUGGAUGGCGACAUGGGCUCGUGGGAUAUCAAACCAGAUCAAAUGCAAAUGAUAAAUCCUUUCUUAAUUCUGGCCUUCAUUCCUCUUUACGAACUGGCUUUCUAUCCUCUGCUUGCUUUCGUCGGCAUUCGUCGUCCAUUGCAAAAGUUAACACUAGGUGGCAUCUUUGCGGGUAUAGCUUUCGUUGUCUCCGGUCUUGUGGAGCUAAGUCUGGAGAACACCUAUCCAAUUCUGCCAACCGCUGGAAAUGCCCAGCUUCGUGUCUAUAAUGGCGAAAACUGUGACUAUGCCAUCACCUCUAAUUUGACCGGUUUAAAUUUCGAUAUUGCUUCGCUUGAUAUGUUUGUGGACCGCAACAUUAAUAUUGACUCAACAAAUCAUCUGUAUGUCGAAUUUCAGUUCACCGAGAAAGCCGGCCUAAACUGCUUUGAAUUCCCAAAACAGACCUUUGUUUUAGAUACAAUAACAGCACAUUAUUUGUUUUUGAAUUCGAAAAACACCACAGAUCCGCUAAUAUGGGGGAUAGACACUGUAAGCAAACCCAGUCGCGGUUAUCCGUUUGGACGUACUUUGGCGAACGUUCGGCCAGGUCGGCAAGUUGAGUGGAAGAAUAAGAAAGGCUCCAUCGAGCACACAGAACCCGCCAAUUUGCGCAACGAAACUGAGCUAAAGUCUGGCGAAUAUGAAAUUUCGGUCGAUAACACUGUAGCUGCCAAGGCGUAUCUCAAAGUUGGUGGCAUAUACACAGUAAUAAUAAAUGAAGAAACGACCGGUAUUUAUGAGAGUAAUGUCGUAAUUGUAACGAACCCGAAUUCGAUGUCCAUUUUCUGGUUAAUUCCCCAAUACGUAAUUAUGACACUCGCAGAGGUUAUGUUCUCCGUGACUGGCUUAGAGUUUUCAUAUGCGCAAGCCCCAGUGUCGAUGAAAUCGGUACUGCAAGCCUGUUGGCUACUUACAGUGGCCUUCGGUAAUGUGAUCGUCGUGAUUAUUGCCGAACUGAAACUCUUCGAAUCGCAAGCCUACGAGUUCUUCCUCUUCGCUGGUUUUAUGUUUGUCGAUAUGAUCAUAUUUAUGUUUGUUGCUUAUCGGUACAAACCAAAUAAUCCAGCCUCUCAAAGUGAAGCUGAGCCAUUGACGGAAAAAACCGAUAAGGUAGGCAUUGACAAUGUGGCCAAAACGAUUGACGAUUAGGUUCAAAUUCUGUAUGUUAAAUCGUACAAUAUGUAAUUUAACGUCAAUUAAUACGACUAAUGGUUUGAGACACAGUGAAUUUAUAAUUUAAUACAUAGAAGGUCUAAAGAGCUUAAUGGAAGCUUAAGAAAAGUGCGAUCGCUUUUUCCCAUUUCUCUAUCAAUCCCUUAAAAAUAAACACCUGCACAAGCAGAUUCGUUUUUCUUGAAGGUGUGAGAUUCCGUGAAAUAGCCUAUAUUUGCUUUGAUUCGGUUUAGCAAAUGACCAACAUUAACUCGAGACCAUGUGUUCAAAGAGCUCAUGAGCAAUUUUCAUUGCCUUUUGAGCGAAUGCGACGCUACAAUAAAAGGAAACGUAAGGAAGUAUGCUAGUGCGAUCUGUGUGAAAAAGUGCAUUCAAAUGAGAAGUGAAGAAGAAGAUCGCUGCGGUGAUUGUUUAAAGGCGAUAAGUGUGUUUCUUGUCAGGGUAAGUGCCGAACAGACGUCAGGAAUUCCGUUAGCGUGAUUACUAUCGCAUUCACAAUUUGUAUUUACUCGCAAUCGAGUUCUCAUACAAGUAUUUCAAUAUAAUCACACGAUUUUUUCACAGCUACCGAAGGAAAUUAAGCUUAUCGCAGAUUAAUGUCGGCAAGUCUCUGAACUUUGCUCGCGUCUUUUAAAUAUAUUCAAUUAUGCACGUGUCUAUAUGUUUGUAUGUAGGUAUUAAAUUAACUACUUACUGAUAAUUUUGCAAAAGUAUCAUAAAAGUAUUAGAAGCGUCGUAGGCACGGGCGGUAUAAUUUGAUUCCUGAUUCUCACUCACGAUUUGAUGACUUGGAAUGUUUAGUGAUUGAUUACAGCAUGUGACUAAUUGCGGAAAUAAAACAAAUCUAAAGUAUUUGCGACUGUUUUGUUUCAUAAGUUAUAGAGAUCAUUUAAAUGUAUGGCACCUCAUAGAUUAUCCAUACAUAUGUAUAUAUGUGAGUAUGUACGUUAUUCUCGAAAGGGAUUCCUUUCAUUUUUUAUAUAGAUUCUAGAUAGGCUUCUAAAGGUAUAA
This is a non-coding RNA of Bactrocera oleae (olive fruit fly), 3759 nucleotides long. NCBI's taxonomy places the organism in Eukaryota, Metazoa, Arthropoda, Insecta, Diptera, Tephritidae. The record is from RefSeq and is a predicted model, not a curated record.